AGGGUUUUUGAUCGUCUUCGCUAUAUAAUGCCCUCUCCUCUAUUUGCCUUUACAUCACAUCUCUCUCUCACCUCUUCUUCAAGCGGCUGGUAUCAACUAUCAGGGUCCGAUGCCACGUCGCCGGUAGCUGUAAACGGCGGUGACCGGCGAUGCUAUGAUUGGACCGAGAGUGAUUUCAUGUUUCGUAUGCUGAUAGGAAUCUGUGGAUCUGAUGCCGUUGGUCUAUGGAGCCGAUUUCUGCGAUUACAUUUAUCUCAAUAUGUUUAUAUAUAUAAUAAUGCUAUGUAUAAGUCGGCGUUUUUAUUGUGUUCUUAUGAAGCCGAUGAGGAUUAGUCUCUUUUAGUUGGAA
Long non-coding RNA from Carya illinoinensis, 349 nucleotides. RefSeq lists it as uncharacterized. The transcript is spliced from 2 exons. Lineage: Eukaryota; Viridiplantae; Streptophyta; Magnoliopsida; Fagales; Juglandaceae. The record is from RefSeq and is a predicted model, not a curated record.